CUACGGGAGGCAGCAGUGGGGAAUAUUGGACAAUGGGCGAAAGCCUGAUCCAGCCAUGCCGCGUGUGUGAAGAAGGCCUUCGGGUUGUAAAGCACUUUCAGUGGGGAAGAAAGCCUUGGGGCUAAUACCCUCGAGGAAGGACAUCACCCACAGAAGAAGCACCGGCUAACUCCGUGCCAGCAGCCGCGGUAAUACGGAGGGUGCGAGCGUUAAUCGGAAUUACUGGGCGUAAAGCGCGCGUAGGCGGUCUGAUAAGCCGGUUGUGAAAGCCCCGGGCUCAACCUGGGAACGGCAUCCGGAACUGUCAGGCUAGAGUGCAGGAGAGGAAGGUAGAAUUCCCGGUGUAGCGGUGAAAUGCGUAGAGAUCGGGAGGAAUACCAGUGGCGAAGGCGGCCUUCUGGACUGACACUGACGCUGAGGUGCGAAAGCGUGGGUAGCAAACAGGAUUAGAUACCCUAGUAGU
This 463-nucleotide ribosomal RNA is filed under the name Vreelandella stevensii. RNAcentral describes it as "partial 16S ribosomal RNA". It matches the Rfam family "Bacterial small subunit ribosomal RNA", at positions 339 to 794 of the family's 1533-position model. The record is from RNAcentral. Lineage: Bacteria; Pseudomonadati; Pseudomonadota; Gammaproteobacteria; Oceanospirillales; Halomonadaceae.